UAGGGUGAUGCGCACUUGUAAUCCGGAUGU
Molecule: non-coding RNA, 30 nt
Filed under: Mus musculus (house mouse)
Lineage: Eukaryota; Metazoa; Chordata; Mammalia; Rodentia; Muridae
Source: RNAcentral